Molecule: ribosomal RNA, 465 nt
Filed under: Vreelandella stevensii
Lineage: Bacteria; Pseudomonadati; Pseudomonadota; Gammaproteobacteria; Oceanospirillales; Halomonadaceae
Description: partial 16S ribosomal RNA
Rfam family: Bacterial small subunit ribosomal RNA
Source: RNAcentral
CCUACGGGUGGCAGCAGUGGGGAAUAUUGGACAAUGGGCGAAAGCCUGAUCCAGCCAUGCCGCGUGUGUGAAGAAGGCCUUCGGGUUGUAAAGCACUUUCAGUGGGGAAGAAAGCCUUGGGGCUAAUACCCUCGAGGAAGGACAUCACCCACAGAAGAAGCACCGGCUAACUCCGUGCCAGCAGCCGCGGUAAUACGGAGGGUGCGAGCGUUAAUCGGAAUUACUGGGCGUAAAGCGCGCGUAGGCGGUCUGAUAAGCCGGUUGUGAAAGCCCCGGGCUCAACCUGGGAACGGCAUCCGGAGCUGUCAGGCUAGAGUGCAGGAGAGGAAGGUAGAAUUCCCGGUGUAGCGGUGAAAUGCGUAGAGAUCGGGAGGAAUACCAGUGGCGAAGGCGGCCUUCUGGACUGACACUGACGCUGAGGUGCGAAAGCGUGGGUAGCAAACAGGAUUAGAUACCCCAGUAGUC